This 243-nucleotide long non-coding RNA is filed under the name Panax ginseng (ginseng). RNAcentral describes it as "long non-coding RNA (PGIN_LNC013963)". Lineage: Eukaryota; Viridiplantae; Streptophyta; Magnoliopsida; Apiales; Araliaceae. The record is from RNAcentral.
AUGACUUUCAACAUAAUAUAAACAUGAGGAUGAUGACAAUGAUAUAAGAAUUCAAUCAAAUAAGUUCAAGAAUUAAUUUGUCCAAGAACUACUAAGGUCCAAAUUGUCAACAUGAUACUGCUUUGUAGAGUAAAAUUCAAGAAUGAUCAGAAGAAUAUUUCCAUGGAAAGAUACUAGAUGAAGCACAAAUAUCAAGGAUAUUCUACUAAUUUCAUGGAGUAUAGAAGUCAAAACUUUAACCAA